RNAcentral lists this transfer RNA (75 nucleotides) under Candidatus Pacearchaeota archaeon. RNAcentral's name for it is "tRNA-Thr". Lineage: Archaea; Nanobdellati. The record is from RNAcentral.
GCCAUCUUAGCUCAGUUUGGUAAGAGUGCGUCAUUGGUAAUGACGAGGUCCUGGGUUCGACCCCCAGAGGUGGCU